AUGAACGCUAGCGGCACGGCUUAACACAUGCAAGUCGAGGGGCAGCACUAAUGGAUAGCAAUAUCUAUGGUGGCGACCGGCGCACGGGUGCGUAACGCGUAUGCAACCUACCUUUAACAGGGGGAUAACACUGAGAAAUUGGUACUAAUACCCCAUAAUAUCAUAGAAGGGCAUCUUUUAUGGUUGAAAAUUCCGAUGGUUAGAGAUGGGCAUGCGUUGUAUUAGCUAGUUGGUGGGGUAACGGCUCACCAAGGCGACGAUACAUAGGGGGACUGAGAGGUUUAACCCCCCCANACUGGUACUGAGACACGGACCAGACUCCUACGGGAGGCAGCAGUGAGGAAUAUUGGUCAAUGGACGCAAGUCUGAACCAGCCAUGCCGCGUGCAGGAUGACGGCUCUAUGAGUUGUAAACUGCUUUUGUACUAGGGUAAACUCACCUACGUGUAGGUGACUGAAAGUAUAGUACGAAUAAGGAUCGGCUAACUCCGUG
This 492-nucleotide ribosomal RNA is filed under the name uncultured bacterium. RNAcentral describes it as "bacterial SSU rRNA". It matches the Rfam family "Bacterial small subunit ribosomal RNA", at positions 29 to 507 of the family's 1533-position model. The record is from RNAcentral.